This is a long non-coding RNA of Notolabrus celidotus (New Zealand spotty), 1185 nucleotides long. RefSeq lists it as uncharacterized. The transcript is spliced from 2 exons. The record is from RefSeq and is a predicted model, not a curated record. Lineage: Eukaryota; Metazoa; Chordata; Actinopteri; Labriformes; Labridae.
GCCCUCUGCAGCAAUGAUCCAGAGCACUAAUCUGUCUGAGAAACUGCUGGUAGGUUGCCCUUGCCACCAGAGGACACUGUGGCAGCUUUGGAUGUAGUACCUCCCACCUUAUAAAUAGAGGCCAGGAUGAGGGCCUUCUCCUUCUUUGUCCACAAACAUUUGAUGGUUUGCCAUGUGUCUGUUGUUGCAUCCUCACUAACCAUGAGAACCAUCAUAUGCAACAUUGGCGACUUAGAGGACAAAUAAAACAGAAAUUGACUGCAAAGCUGGUUCCUACACUGUCCAAAUCUUUGCCAAUUUAUUUUAAAGUCCAUUCAUGUCAGAUGUGAUACAAAUUUAAUUGUUUAUUACAAAGCAUCUUCCCUAUAUUCAGCCAAUGAGAGCAGCUCAUUCAGAUACAAUGCUCUCUGAUACACAACGGCCCACAGUCCCGGCCUGUGGAAAAGUGAGUGCAUGUGCAGGGUCGAGCCUCUGACAGGCCCAGACUGUUUAUGUUAACAAUAAUGUCAAAGAACAAUUAAGAGACUUAAAAUACAGAAUUAUUUACAGGUCGCUUAGAGGAGGAAUUGUUGUAAUGAUCACUUAAAUGUUUGAGAUAUUAGUUAUAAAUACUGGCACACAGUUACCACCAACCCUGAGCAGAUGAUAAAAAUUCAGUCUGAGUGCGGCUAUGACUCAUGAAAAUAAAUUCAAGUUAAGCCAUUAAAGAAAGAUGUUCUGUAACAAUGAAUACAGGAUGAAAUACAAUACACUAACACUAAGGUUAAGUCACUGUGAUUUAAUGCUUCAGUUAAUGCAGGGGGAAUUAUACAUUACUGUUGCUCACUGUUUAAAAAUAAUCAGUCAGCACAAGUUUAUGUAACCAGCUAAUAAUCCGAAUGGAUAUUCACACAACAUGAGAUCAUUUCUAUGCAGCUAUAUUCUCCUGAAUCCAGAAACAGACUUUCAUUCAGGUUCAGGACAUUGAUCAGCCUUCAAAAGUUUUCUCUCAGAAACAUGGAUGACUUGAUCACAGGCUUUCCAAGUUCAGAGGUCAACAAACACAAGAAGCAUUAAGAUUCAUAGCGAAGACUACAUGUGUUGGUGGCCUGGGAUGCAUAUAUCUCUAUUAUCUCCAGUCUGUGUUCACGUAUGUGUCCGAGGUCACAUUAAAGGGCAGCCUAUAGAUGCCACUGAUUGACAGAC